This is an RNA transcript of Grus americana (Whooping crane), 5255 nucleotides long. It is a transcript of the gene named zinc finger protein 804A, with no coding region annotated. The record is from RefSeq and is a predicted model, not a curated record. NCBI's taxonomy places the organism in Eukaryota, Metazoa, Chordata, Aves, Gruiformes, Gruidae. The transcript is spliced from 5 exons.
GGCCCCAUGGAGUGCUACUACAUUGUCAUCAGCUCCGCGCACCUCAGCAACGGGCACUUUCGCAACAUCAAGGGAGUUUUCCGAGGCCCCCUCAGCAAGAACGGGAACAAAACUCUGGAUUAUGCUGAAAAGAAAAACACGAUAGCAAAAGCUCUGGAAGAUCUUAAAGCCAACUUCUACUGUGAACUCUGCGACAAGCAGUACUAUAAACACCAGGAGUUUGACAAUCACAUUAACUCUUAUGAUCAUGCUCACAAACAGAGACUGAAGGAACUGAAACAGAGGGAGUUUGCUCGAAAUGUAGCAUCUAAGUCACGAAAAGAUGAAAGGAAGCAGGAAAAAGCCCUUCAACGUUUGCACAAGCUAGCUGAGCUAAGGAAAGAGACAACGUGUGCUCCUGGAAGCGGCCCUAUGUUCAAAUCCACUACAGUGACUGUGCGAGAUCACUGCAAUGAUAUCCCACAAAGUGCUGCCAUAGAAUCUGCCAACAAACAGGAUUUCAGCUGUACGUUAAUGCACGAAGCACAGAAUUGUAAAGAUGUCGCUUCUGUUAUUUCUUCCACUCCUGGAAAUGCAUGUGGUAAUAAAUCCGACGCUAACAAAUGUGGAGAUCAGGUUCAAGGAGCUCAAGGACAUAGAGUUGGGUUCUCUUUUGCUUUUCCUAAGAAAGCAGCAGUCAAACUGGAGUCUUCAGCUGCUGUUUUCUAUGAAUAUAAUGACGAAACGUCUAUGGAGCACGGAUUUAGCAGAAGAAGUAGGUUUGUUCCAGGAGUUUGUAAUCUUCAGUCUCCCUCAGCGGCAGAAAUAGUCCUGUGCCCGGAGGAGAAACAUAACUGUUUUCACCCACCGGUGGAAAAAUGCACUGACCCGGCAGAAGCUCCUGAAGCUCAGGAGCUGGCCAGUGAAGAAAGCAGGGUGCUAGAGAGUCCCGUAAUAAAUCCUGCUGUGUCUCAUUCAGAGCAACUGGUGUCCUCGGACAUGGAUGGCUACCGUAUUGAUGUAAGAGCAGCAGACUUACUGGACCAAACGCUGCCCACGGUUACGGACAGCGUUCAGGUCCUGCCCCUGGACCGCAGUGGUUACGAGCUGCAGGGAAACAGGGCUCUCGUGCAGGCGGUUGUGGAUGAUUGUUUAUCUCUGCAGGACGUUGCGGAGGAAAAGGAUAAAGACAGGAACAGUGACUCAUCCACAACUGAAACUGAAAUAAAAAAGCUGGGGGCGGAUGCGUCAGUUCCAUCACCUUCUGAAGAAGGUAGCAGUGGAGCCCCACAAAGCAAACCAGACACACGCAAGAGGCCUAGUGAACCAUUUGUUCCUGUUCUUAGCAAAUACGGAUCAAAUAUUCUUCAGUGGCCAUCUGAAAUGUUAAUUUAUACAAGUACAGACCCAUCGAUUUCUUAUAGCUGUAAUCCUUUAUAUUUUGAUUUCAAGUCAUCGAGAACAAAUGACAGCCAAGAAAAGCCCAAGCAUCAGCCAAACAUACCUCAUUUGCACCAUAAAACUGAAUCCAACCAUAGCUUAGUCUCGGAUUUUACAAAUAAACCUACUUCAGAGUGUGGGUAUUAUGAAACAGAAAUGAAUAAAAAUGUGUGCAACUAUACUAUACCCCUUAUGAGUGAUGUUUCCCUCAUCAGAAAUUGUGACCUUGCAAAAAAUCCAAAUAAAGUGUCCUUGGAUGAGUCAUUCAGGAUUAGAAAAAUAGACAAGUAUCACAUUUCUAAAAAUCACUUACGACAAAACACUGUGAUAGAUGAGAAAUAUAACAAAGUUUGGAUCAAAGCAAGCCAUGAAAAAUGGCUUCACAAAAGUAGAAAAUGGAAAAGGAGAAGAAAAUUAUGUCAUUGUCAUCAUCAUCACUGUGGGGGCGCAACAACGGCAGAAAUGGAGAUGUCCUUAGGGACUGAAAAGGAAAUUAGUUACAGAGAUGAAAAUAAAUAUCAGCACCUCCAAAAUAAUCCAGAGAAGUGCAGACAUGAUGCAGGAAACAUCUGGCUAGCUACAGGUGAGAUACAGCAGUCACAUCAAAAACUUGGCACUGAAAAUGGUCAUAAAAGAGUCAUGUCUGUGUCAGGUCAUGUACAUGGGGAUAGAGGCUGGUGUGAUGUUUGGAGUGCAAAAAAUAGCUGCCAACACUGUGGUUGUAAACGACUGCACAGAAAGAGCAAAGCAAGCUCUCGGAGACAGGCAAAGCAGCUGGCUCCGAGUUCUAGGAGGCACAGCUUAAGGUAUUCUAAAACAUGUUGUGGUUGGAAAGUCAGGAGGUCAAGCUGUAGCCCAGAGCAUAAAUGUUUAGGACACUGCAGUGAGGAGAAGAGUCCGAGUCAAAACCAGUCCAUAAAGAGAGGUUACAACGUUCUGACAGAGGAACCUGAAAAAUCCCACCACAAGCGUAGACAGCUUACCUGUUCCUCUUCAUCAGAUGAAAGCUCAUACGGACAGACAUCAGCAGAGGAAUAUCUAAGGCAAGCGCGUACUUUAGGUACACAUCACAAGGCAAAAGGGAAACGCAGGAGGAGGAAAAACAGAAUCCGUCACGUAUUCCUUGACAAGAACAUGAGAAGUGAGACCUCCAGACCUUCCAAAGAAAAUUCUGCAAAUUGUACAUUAAAUAUUUUGGGGGACUUCUUGACUCAAGACAGUCUAGAGGAAACUAAUGUGGAUCCCACCGCUGAUCAUGCAAAAGAUAUCGAUGAAACAAUGCAGCUGGAGGAAAGCAAGUCAUCUCUAGAAACUGAUAGUUCACACAUGCUGGAAAAUGACAAACUGACGGCGUGCGCAGCGGUGGAGAGCACUCCGAGUACAUUUUCUGACGUCGUCGCAGGUUCUGCUGCUUGUGUUCCUGAGCACAGUGCUCCAGUGGCUGCCGGCACACAGGAUGUUCUGCAAGAUGAAAAGAAAAAAGAAAAUGUCAACCGUUGUGAAAAUCAAGCUCGUUACAAAGUUCCCCUCCCCAACAGACCUUUGGAACAAGCUCCUCCUAAAUCCUAUCUUUGCCAUUAUGAAUUGGCCGAGUCUCUACCGCAUGAGAAAAUAAAUGAGGUGACCAGCGAGUGGGUACAGUGUAAUCCUGGCAUAUUUAGCAGCCCACCACCCUUGCCAUUCAAAGAAGCACAUGUAAACAGUCAUACCUUUUUAACUACGGAGCAGUUGAUAGCCCCCUUCACCCUUCCCGAUCAGACAUUGAUAUUCCCUCCAGACAACCACGAAAAAUUCAAAGAUCUCCCAUCCGAGGCGUAUCAGCAGAUCGUGCCACAAAACAUGCUGGCCAACAAAGUGAAGUUCACCUUCCCUGCCCCAGCGAUCCAGCCCCCAAAUUCCCCACUGCAACCCUUACCCUUGCAGCCGCCGCUAUGUUCUACCUCCGUUACCACCAUCCACCACACCAUCCUACAGCAGCACGCUGCCGCCAGUACAUUGAAGGUUCUCCAGCCCCACCAGCAGUUCCUCUCGCAGGUCCCAGCUCUUUCCAGAGCGCCUUUACCUCAUCUACCAGUAGGACCGAGGCUUUGCCCCGGGGGCCACGCAGCUUUCAUCACCCCGCCACAUUUGCCGCUGCUGCCGCCCUCCGUCCUGCACCCGACCCAGUUGGCGUUUCCCCCGCUGCCGCACACCGUCUUCCCCUCUCUGCUGUCCCCACACCCGGCUGUCAUUCCCCUGCAGCCCCUCUUUUAGGACAGGUUCUCGAGGACGGGGGAAGGAGCCUUCAGCUCAAUGGUCCUGCUGUUUCUACAGACCCCUCAGCUUUGCAAAACGGCUCUGUGAAAUAAACUGGUUAAAAUUCCUCGUUCCUUGGGAAGCAUUUACUAGAAUUCUCCCUACCUCUGCAACCUUUUUAUUGCUGUCGAACCUUUAGCCCAGGAAAUCUUCCCAUCUGCUGUCGUAUGAGAUAUAUCAGACCCACACCUGCGAUGGUCUAGAAUAAAACCAGAAGUGGUUCUGAGAUAGGGCCAUCUCUUUGAGUUAAAAUGAAGUGUUAUCAUGUGAGUGAAGCUAAGGAUUUGCAGCAUGGCCAUUAGUGCUAGAAGUAGGCCCUCCAUAAUUAAAGGUAGGUGCUAGCUCUCCAAUUAAUCACUUCUUUUCACCUUUUUAUAUAGUAUAAUAAAAGUAUAUACAGUUGAACUGAAAGAAUAGUAAUUUUUGAAUAUUAUUAACAUACAUUGCAUAUUAAUAAAGACAUUAUCCAUUUGAAAGAUAACACUAUAUCCUAAAACAUAUAUAUCCGGGUAUUAUUUUCUGCAUCUAUAGCGUUAGAACUUACUUAUACCAAUAUUGCAAGUUUUACUAUAAUAUCACAUUAAAACUAUAACAAACAGCAUUUUACCACUAUGAUUACAGUGUCAGGUACUCCAGGGAUGUGAGUUUUUCGUGUCGUGCAGUUACAAAGGGCUAAACUACGUUAAUAAGCAAAAAGUUAAUAAGAAGGAGCAGGUGAGCGGUCAGGUUCUGGAGAGCGGCUGGGAUCCCCUGCCUGAGGCUGUGGCAUGGGGUGGGAUGUUGCUGAGCAUCUGUCCCUGCAAUGCCAUAAAGAAGGUAUAUUUUCUCUAAGUUCAGGUGAAUGCCCAUUUCUAUUUAUCUGGUACCUGAAAAAUAUAGCAAAGUGACCUUCUACUCCUCCCUUAUUUCAAGAGUAUGCCUACAUAAUCUCUAUGUCUCCGCUAACUCCUGUACAAUGCAGGUGCCCAGCAGGCUCUAAGCACGGGAAUUUCUGUCUGAAGGUGGAUGGUGCAUGCUAGCUGCUUCGUCUCCCAUCUUAGCUGACUUGCGUUGGCUUUUGUAUUUCUGCCCUCCUCUGUGGUAGUCAACACAGAUGGUCCCCUGGGUUCUGAUGUCUUAUCAAAGACAAAAUACAUCUAAUUAUCUAACAGUACACUUGAAAAUAAGAAUCUGCGCAGGACAAUUAUGAUUGCAUGGUAUCAUAUAAAUACAUUUUUAUCUGGCAGGAGAUUAAAAAUUACCAAUCUCAGAUUUUCAAUUGCAACGUUCAUUGAAAAAUCCCAUCUAUUAACUUAGAAGGCCACAUUUUUUCAACAAAAUGUCCAAACAGCUUUGAACAUUACUUUUUUCUUACAAUUUAAAUAACUUUUUUUUUACGUUUUAAGUUGUUGAACAGUUUUAAGACAUUGCACAAUUAUUUAUUAUCUACUGUAAUUGCUUUUCAAUAGUGUAUAAACUACUUACAAUAAAAGACUAGUAACAAUCAAAUGUAAGAAUUUUCUAAUAUGGUAUUGCCUUUAGUGCUAGAACUGUUUGUAUAU